UACAGAGGGUGCGAGCGUUAAUCGGAUUUACUGGGCGUAAAGGGCGCGUAGGUGGUAAGGCAAGUAAGAUGUGAAAGCCCUGGGCUUAACCUGGGAAGUGCAUCUUAAACUGCCUAACUAGAGUAUGGUAGAGGGUAGUGGAAUUUCCGGUGUAGCGGUGAAAUGCGUAGAUAUCGGGAGGAACACCUGUGGCGAAAGCGGCUCACUGGACCACAACUGACGCUGAGGCGCGAAAGCUAGGGGAGCAAACAGG
Molecule: ribosomal RNA, 253 nt
Filed under: uncultured bacterium
Lineage: Bacteria
Description: partial 16S ribosomal RNA
Rfam family: Bacterial small subunit ribosomal RNA
Source: RNAcentral